CCUACGGGUGGCAGCAGUGAGGAAUAUUGGUCAAUGGCCGGAAGGCUGAACCAGCCAAGCCGCGUGAAGGACGAAGGUGCCAAGCAUUGUAAACUUCUUUUGUCAAGGGACAAAAUCAGGCUCGAGAGCCUGACCGAGGGUACUUGAAGAAAAAGCAUCGGCUAACUCCGUGCCAGCAGUCGCGGUAAUACGGAGGAUGAGAGCGUUAUCCGGAUUUAUUGGGGUUAAAGGGUGCGUAGGCGGGCUGUUAAGUCAGCGGUAAAAGUCCGGGGACCAACCCCGGCGAGCCGUUGAAACUGGCUGUCUUGAGAUGUCGAGAGGUAUGCGGAAUGCGCAGUGUAGCGGUGAAAUGCUUAGAUAUUGCGCAGAACUCCGAUUGCGAAGGCAGCAUACCGGCGGCGGUCUGACGCUGAGGCACGAAAGCGUGGGUAUCGAACAGGAUUAGAUACCCGGGUAGUC
This 459-nucleotide ribosomal RNA is filed under the name uncultured bacterium. RNAcentral describes it as "partial 16S ribosomal RNA". It matches the Rfam family "Bacterial small subunit ribosomal RNA", at positions 338 to 795 of the family's 1533-position model. The record is from RNAcentral.